RNAcentral lists this ribosomal RNA (252 nucleotides) under uncultured Bacteroidales bacterium. RNAcentral describes it as "partial 16S ribosomal RNA". It matches the Rfam family "Bacterial small subunit ribosomal RNA", at positions 524 to 776 of the family's 1533-position model. The record is from RNAcentral. Lineage: Bacteria; Pseudomonadati; Bacteroidota; Bacteroidia; Bacteroidales.
UACGGAGGAUGCGCGCGUUAUCCGGAUUUAUUGGGUUUAAAGGGUGCGCAGGCGGAUUUUUAAGUCAGCGGUCAAAUCGUGGGGCUCAACCCCAUCCAGCCGUUGAAACUGGGGAUCUAGAGUGUGCGAGAAGUAUGCGGAAUGCGCGGUGUAGCGGUGAAAUGCAUAGAUAUCACGCAGAACUCCGAUUGCGAAGGCAGCAUACCGGCGCGCAACUGACGCUCAUGCACGAAAGCGUGGGGAGCAAAUAGG